This is a long non-coding RNA of Olea europaea var. sylvestris, 2090 nucleotides long. RefSeq lists it as uncharacterized. The record is from RefSeq and is a predicted model, not a curated record. The transcript has 2 exons. NCBI's taxonomy places the organism in Eukaryota, Viridiplantae, Streptophyta, Magnoliopsida, Lamiales, Oleaceae.
AUGCAGAAUUACACCUUGAGAGGUAACCAGGUUUACUCACGUCAACUUCCUCAAAAUAGUAUAGACAUUCACAUUCUUUAGCACUGCCAAUCGUCUUCCUCGAUUAAAGGUUCUAGAAAAUACAACAUGACUGAAGAAAAUUAGCGGAGAAAUUAGAGUUUUUUGUCAGUUGACUAACAGAUAGCAAGUUACAAGACAGGUUUGGGACAUGAAGGACAGAAUCUAGUGUUAUAGUCUCAGAAAUACGAAUACUUUCUUUUCUUGUAACAGAUGAUAGUGAGCCAUCUACAAUUUUGACGCUAAUGUUCCCAGGACAAGUAGAGUAUGAAGAAAAGAGGUGAUAUGCAUCCGUCAUGUGAUCGGAUGCAUCGGAGUCUAUAAUCCACACAUUUUUACAUCGUGAAGUGUUUAGAGCUCUAAGGAGGUUACCUUUGUGGGCUAAUAAACUAGAAUGACCUUUAGGAGACGGUUGACCCGAUGUUUGGAAGCUGGCGAACAAUUGAUAAAUUUGUUCAAGUUGUUCGGAAUUGAAUCCACCACUCAAAAUUGGGUUACUCUUAGUUUCUGCUUAAUACCCACGGUUCCUACUAUUUUGCAUCGAUUUCCAAUCGUUGGGCUUCCCAUUAAUUUCUCAACAUGUGUCCAUUUUAUGACCUGGCCUACGACAAUGCUCACACCAAACCUUUCUCGUUGUUUUUGUACUGGCUCAUUUAUUCCUCCCUUUGAAAACCCAAAGCUCCAGAGGCCCAAUUAGUGUUUUCAGUCUCUGGCCCAAGUGUUGGUCCGUUAACUUUACCUCGUCCAAGAAGCCCAUGUUCUGUAGUGUUCACCUGUCCAUUCUUCUUCCCUGCCAAGGCCGAAAUUUCUACUCCAGUGACUUACUUCAACAUCACAUGCUGGCGAGCUUCUUCCCGGCGCACCUUCACAAAUACCUCGCGGAUCGAUGGUAGUAGGCUUCUCCUAAUAUUCGGCGUCUGACCUCGUCCAACUCCCGAUUCAGCCCUGCGAGAAAUUCGAAUACUCUCUCAUGUUCCUGCUACUUGUACAAGGCGACGUCUUCCUUGCACUUUCACUCCUCUUCGCUGCUCAGGUCGAGGUCCUGCCAUAGGGAGGUCAUCUCCAUGAAAUAUUGGAUAAUAUCCCGUGUCCCCUGUUUCGUCUGCCAUAGACGGGUCUUAAGUUCGAAGACUUGUGCUGUGUUCCCAACGUCUGAAAAAGUCUCUUUCACGGCAUCCCAGACAUCUUUUGCCGUUGGGAGGAAGAGAUAGGCUUUCCCUAUCGACGGCUUCAUGGAGUUUACAAGCCAAGCGGUUGCCAUUGAAUUUUUAGAAUUCCACCGUUGCAGUUGAGCAGGAUCAGCUGGCUUCUUUGUCUCGCCGAUGUAUUGGAACCAAUGGAGGAGUGGACCUCUGCUUCGGGGUCGGAGAUGACAGAUCUGGUACUGUGAGAGGGGAAUUCCGCCAUUGACUGCUAGGUUAGAGCAACCUAGGCUCUGACACCAGAAACAAUUAGAGAUUUGAGAAAAUAAAUUCUCUUUCUCAAUACAUUAAUAGCCUUCUCACGUCAGUUUAUAUACACACAAGAGGAAGAAAAUAUGGAAAAACUAAUUUCCUAAUCUAGGAAACAAAUUAGCCUACCAAAUAACAAAAAUAUGUAAUCCCUAAUUAAUUACAAUUACUAUAAUUGGGUUUCUUUCCUUUUUCUUCCCUUGAUCGUUUUCUACACUUUUCCUUCACUCUAUCCCCAAAAAAAGUCUUUCUUGGAGUUUCAAGCUUUAUAUAUAAUCAAAUUACAAAGACCAGUAAUGAAGUAAUUAUUAGAUCAUGAAACUGAUUCUGUUAUCUAUUAGUUUUGUUUAUUCACUAUGAAUAGUUAGAAUUGGUUAGUGUUGAGCUUUCAUAGUUGGUAGUUAAGUGUUGAGCUGUUAUGUAACUAAUUCUGUACACAAGUCAGUCUAUUUUUAUUGCCUUGAUUGAAUUUAGAAACACGAGAUACAUGAAUACAGAGAAUGGAAUUUCUUUCUUCUAGUUCUUCUCUUCAAACUUUGAUAUGGUAUCAGAACAAAUAGCUUGAUUUGCUAUUGUUAUUUU